CGGAGGAAAAGAAACUAACAAGGAUUCCCCUAGUAACGGCGAGUGAAGCGGGAUGAGCUCAAAUUUGUAAUCUGGUGGACUCAGUUCAUCCGAGUUGUAAUCUAUAGAAGUGUUUUCCGCGCUGGACCGUGUCUAAGUCCCUUGGAACAGGGUGUCAGAGAGGGUGAGAAUCCCGUGCUUGAUACGACCACCAGUGCUAUGUGAUACACUUUCAACGAGUCGAGUUGUUUGGGAAUGCAGCUCAAAAUGGGUGGUAAAUUCCAUCUAAAGCUAAAUAUUGGCGAGAGACCGAUAGCGAACAAGUACCGUGAGGGAAAGAUGAAAAGCACUUUGGAAAGAGAGUUAAACAGUACGUGAAAUUGUUAAAAGGGAAACGAUUGAAGUCAGUCGUGCUCUCUGGGACUCAGCCGGUUCUUCCGGUGUACUUCCCAGUGAGCGGGUCAACAUCAGUUUAGAUCGCUGGAUAAAGGUAUUAGGAAGGUGGCUCCCUCGGGAGUGUUAUAGCCUAGUAUCGCAUACAGUGGUUUAGACUGAGGAACGCAGCUCGCCUUUAUGGCCGGGGUUCGCCCACGUCCGAGCUUAGGAUGUUGACAUAAUGGCUUUAAACGACCCGU
This 614-nucleotide ribosomal RNA is filed under the name Holtermanniella wattica. RNAcentral describes it as "eukaryotic LSU rRNA". It matches the Rfam family "Eukaryotic large subunit ribosomal RNA", at positions 51 to 652 of the family's 3401-position model. The record is from RNAcentral. Lineage: Eukaryota; Fungi; Basidiomycota; Tremellomycetes; Holtermanniales.